This 1346-nucleotide ribosomal RNA is filed under the name uncultured bacterium. RNAcentral's name for it is "partial 16S ribosomal RNA". It matches the Rfam family "Bacterial small subunit ribosomal RNA", at positions 28 to 1381 of the family's 1533-position model. The record is from RNAcentral.
GACGAACGCUGGCGGCGUGCUUAACACAUGCAAGUCGAACGGAAAGGCCCUGCUUUUGUGGGGUGCUCGAGUGGCGAACGGGUGAGUAACACGUGAGUAACCUGCCCUUGACUUUGGGAUAACUUCAGGAAACUGGGGCUAAUACCGGAUAGGAGCUCCUGCUGCAUGGUGGGGGUUGGAAAGUUUCGGCGGUUGGGGAUGGACUCGCGGCUUAUCAGCUUGUUGGUGGGGUAGUGGCUUACCAAGGCUUUGACGGGUAGCCGGCCUGAGAGGGUGACCGGCCACAUUGGGACUGAGAUACGGCCCAGACUCCUACGGGAGGCAGCAGUGGGGAAUAUUGCACAAUGGGCGGAAGCCUGAUGCAGCAACGCCGCGUGCGGGAUGACGGCCUUCGGGUUGUAAACCGCUUUCGCCUGUGACGAAGCGUGAGUGACGGUAAUGGGUAAAGAAGCACCGGCUAACUACGUGCCAGCAGCCGCGGUGAUACGUAGGGUGCGAGCGUUGUCCGGAUUUAUUGGGCGUAAAGGGCUCGUAGGUGGUUGAUCGCGUCGGAAGUGUAAUCUUGGGGCUUAACCCUGAGCGUGCUUUCGAUACGGGUUGACUUGAGGAAGGUAGGGGAGAAUGGAAUUCCUGGUGGAGCGGUGGAAUGCGCAGAUAUCAGGAGGAACACCAGUGGCGAAGGCGGUUCUCUGGGCCUUUCCUGACGCUGAGGAGCGAAAGCGUGGGGAGCGAACAGGCUUAGAUACCCUGGUAGUCCACGCUGUAAACGGUGGGUACUAGGUGUGGGGUCCAUUCCACGGGUUCCGUGCCGUAGCUAACGCUUUAAGUACCCCGCCUGGGGAGUACGGCCGCAAGGCUAAAACUCAAAGGAAUUGACGGGGCCCCGCACAAGCGGCGGAGCAUGCGGAUUAAUUCGAUGCAACGCGUAGAACCUUACCUGGGUUUGACAUGGAUCGGGAGUGCUCAGAGAUGGGUGUGCCUCUUUUGGGGUCGGUUCACAGGUGGUGCAUGGCUGUCGUCAGCUCGUGUCGUGAGAUGUUGGGUUAAGUCCCGCAACGAGCGCAACCCUUGUUCACUGUUGCCAGCACGUUAUGGUGGGGACUCAGUGGAGACCGCCGGGGUCAACUCGGAGGAAGGUGGGGAUGACGUCAAGUCAUCAUGCCCCUUAUGUCCAGGGCUUCACGCAUGCUACAAUGGCUGGUACAGAGAGUGGCGAGCCUGUGAGGGUGAGCGAAUCUCGGAAAGCCGGUCUCGGUUCGGAUUGGGGUCUGCAACUCGACCUCAUGAAGUCGGAGUCGCUAGUAAUCGCAGAUCAGCAACGCUGCGGUGAAUACGUUCCCGGGGCU